AUUAAAUCCACUCUCAUAUUUACUCCACAGGGGAACCCAAGUGCAGUUCUUUGGCAAACUGUAUUUCAUGUUUGUUUAUGAACAUAUUGAAUUCAGUAACAGUGCUGAAUACAACAAAGAAUAGAGCAAAACAAACUUUAGGGAGUUCAUGCUGUAAUGGGAAGGAUCCCUGAGUAUCAAUGAGUCUGAAAGUAUUCUAUUUCUGCCAAGAGUAAAGUUGUAAAGCUUCGGGUGCCAACAGCUUCAAUUAAUCGAGAAUCAAGCAAAAGGAACUUGGGUGUCUUGACGAGCUCCGGGGACCAAAUUGUUUCCAUUGUCUCCUUUCAUAAGAUACAUUCCCCAUCAUUUGCAUGAGCCCUCUGCUCUGUCUAGUUUUAGUGUCAAUGGCUGGCAUCCCUCUAGGGGAUGUGCAGUGAAAUUGACAGAAACUGUGAUCGUGG
RNAcentral lists this long non-coding RNA (440 nucleotides) under Sarcophilus harrisii (Tasmanian devil). Its description in RNAcentral is "lncRNA (ENSSHAG00000022707.1)". Lineage: Eukaryota; Metazoa; Chordata; Mammalia; Dasyuromorphia; Dasyuridae. The record is from RNAcentral.